Molecule: ribosomal RNA, 440 nt
Filed under: uncultured bacterium
Lineage: Bacteria
Description: partial 16S ribosomal RNA
Rfam family: Bacterial small subunit ribosomal RNA
Source: RNAcentral
CCUACGGGAGGCAGCAGUGGGGAAUAUUGCACAAUGGGGGAAACCCUGAUGCAGCAACGCCGCGUGAGUGAAGAAGUAUUUCGGUAUGUAAAGCUCUAUCAGCAGGGAAGAAAAUCACAGUACCUGACUAAGAAUCCCCGGCUAACUACGUUCCAGCAGCCGCGGUAAUACGUCGGGGGCAAGCGUUAUCCGGAUUAACUGGGUGUAAAGGGAGCGUAGACGGCUGCGCAAGUCAGAAGUGAAAGCCCGGGGCUCAACCGCGGGACUGCUUUUGAGACUGUGUAGCUAGAGUGCAGGAGAGGUAAGUGGAAUGCAUGGUGUAGCGGUGAAAUGCGUAGAGAUUAGGCGGAACACCGGUGGCGAAGGCGGCUUACUGAACUGCAACUGAUGUUGAGGCGCGAAAGCGUGGGGAGCAAACAGGAUUAGAUACCCGAGUAGUC